GACGAACGCUGGCGGCGUGCUUAACACAUGCAAGUCGAACGGUAAGGCCCUUCGGGGUACACGAGUGGCGAACGGGUGAGUAACACGUGGGUGAUCUGCCCUGCACUUCGGGAUAAGCCUGGGAAACUGGGUUUAAUACCGGAUAGGACCACUGCCUGCAUGGGUGGUGGUGGAAAGCUUUUGCGGUGUGGGAUGGGCCCGCGGCCUAUCAGCUUGUUGGGGGGGUGAUGGCCUACCAAGGCGACGACGGGUAGCCGGCCUGAGAGGGUGACCGGCCACACUGGGACUGAGAUACGGCCCAGACUCCUACGGGAGGCAGCAGUGGGGAAUAUUGCGCAAUGGGCGCAAGCCUGAUGCAGCGACGCCGCGUGAGGGAUGACGGCCUUCGGGUUGUAAACCUCUUUCAGCACCGACGAAGCGCAAGUGACGGUAGGUGCAGAAGAAGGACCGGCCAACUACGUGCCAGCAGCCGCCGCUG
Molecule: ribosomal RNA, 478 nt
Filed under: uncultured bacterium
Lineage: Bacteria
Description: partial 16S ribosomal RNA
Rfam family: Bacterial small subunit ribosomal RNA
Source: RNAcentral